CGUAUAUGUAAUUGAUAUUAGCUAUUCAUGAGUAUUCCUUAAAGUGCUAUUUUAYGCUAUUCUGUAAAGCACGGUUUUUACAUAACGCACAAAUGAGUCCUGAAUCUCGUGUGAGGUUUGAUGUGUUAACUAUAAGAACAGAAUUUUGGAUUUAAGCUAAAUAUAGCAAGGUGAUCAUCAUCAUGGCCAGCCCAAACAACGUAUCUACAUUGACAAAACAAUGCCAAGAUAACCAGACAGUUUGCAUAGACUUAGAUGAUCUACGCAAAGAACUGGCUGAAAAUGCAGGUGUGAUGGUAGUGGUUACCAUAGUGAUUAUAGUCUGGCUUAUGGUGUUCUUAGUAGCUCUCAAAAACAUGGACAAGCCUCCAAAGAACAAGACAGAUGAUGAGGACGAAAAGAACACUAAACCAGAAGCAGUCAAUGUUUAAUGUUGGGUCGAGAUGAAAUAGCAAUUACCAAAUUAAGCAGGCGUGAGAUCUUUUGAAACGUCGAUCAGUGAUGAAUUUGCUACAGCUGAUGAAGUUUUUGAUGGCUAAAAUGACUGAGAUGAUGAAUUAUGAUAAUGAUUAAAACGAGGAGGACCGCCAUAUUGUUUACGAUGUAUUGCUGAAUAACAAGGACAAUGAGAUGAUGGCAAUGAGGACGACGAUGAUUUCACUUUUUUCUCCAAAGAUUUAUAUUGGAUUUUACUAAAGUGACUGCUCCAAGAGUUCUCAAGGACGUGACAUAUCACURAUAUGAACAUUUUUGACAUUUUUAAUUCUUUGAAUCGCCACUUUGCUAUCUUACAAUUAAAAUCGUACGUGUUAACUGCCCUGCGAUUGUUGCGAGGAUGGAAAAUCGUCGCGAAGUUGCAGCCAAUUUCAAGCAUUAUGUUCGAAACUCAGGCGAUGGUCGCACGACGAUCGCCGCGAGAAUCGCUCUGCAAAAAUCACAAGUGUAAACGAACCUUUAAAGUCUCACGUGAAUCCAAGACGCUUUCCGAAGUCUUCUCUUGUUUUAGAAAUGAUCUCUUGCUGACAGGUGCUUGCUGAUUGGCUCAUAAUCAAAGACGGGAAAGUUUUAUAAUAUACGAAAAUUUCCCGUCUUUGAUUAUGAGCCAAUCAGCAAGCACCUGUCAGCAAGAGAUCAUUAGAAAAAUCGCGCAAAGGAUGAUCGAUCUUGGAUGCACGUAGACAGUUAAAAGAUUAAAUUCUCUUUUCUAUUAACCAGGGAUAGAUAAUUAACUACUAAUAAUAGUAGUUGAAUUGAGGAAAUUAUGCUGUGAUAGUAUCAAUUACUAAUACUAAUAAUAAUUAAUAAAAAUUCAUGCAGUAAA
Exaiptasia diaphana is the source of this 1321-nucleotide long non-coding RNA. RefSeq lists it as uncharacterized. The transcript has 3 exons. NCBI's taxonomy places the organism in Eukaryota, Metazoa, Cnidaria, Anthozoa, Actiniaria, Aiptasiidae. The record is from RefSeq and is a predicted model, not a curated record.